This 22-nucleotide microRNA is filed under the name Drosophila sechellia. RNAcentral describes it as "dse-miR-9680-5p". Lineage: Eukaryota; Metazoa; Arthropoda; Insecta; Diptera; Drosophilidae. The record is from miRBase by way of RNAcentral.
AAUUUCUUCAAGCCGAAGGUCU